UGUCUGCAAAACGUUUUUCUGCCGAGAGCACAUAAGCAAGGAACAUGGAGAAGAAUCCUUUGGUAGCCCCAUUACUAAUCCUCUGGCUUCAUCUUGACUGCGCGAGCAGCAUACUGAAUGUGGAACAAAGUCCUCAGUCACUGCGGGUUCAGGAGGGAGACAGCACCAAUUUCACCUGCAGCUUCCCUUCCAGCAAUUUUUAUGCCUUACACUGGUACAGAUGGGAAACUGCAAAAAGCCCCGAGAACUUGCUUGUAAUGACUUUAAAUGGGGAUGAAAAGAAGAAAGGACGAAUAAAUGUCACCCUUAAUACAAAGGAGGGUUACAGCUAUUUGUACAUCAAAGGAUCCCAGCCUGAAGACUCAGCCACAUACCUCUGUGCCAUUACACAGUGCUAUUCAGACACCUGCAGCCCAUACGCAAACCUGUGGCUGGUGUUGCACUGCUACUCAGUAUAG
Molecule: non-coding RNA, 458 nt
Organism: Callithrix jacchus (white-tufted-ear marmoset)
Lineage: Eukaryota; Metazoa; Chordata; Mammalia; Primates; Cebidae
Source: the annotation of a RefSeq genome assembly